GAUGAAGAACGUAGCGAAAUGCGAUAAGUAAUGUGAAUUGCAGAAUUCAGUGAAUCAUCGAAUCUUUGAACGCACAUUGCGCCCUCUGGUAUUCCGGGGGGCAUACCUGUUCGAGCGUCAUUAUAACCACUCAAGCUCUCGCUUGGUAUUGGGGUUCGCGGUUCCGCGGCCCCUAAAAUCAGUGGCGGUGCCUGUCGGCUCUACGCGUAGUAAUACUCCUCGCGAUUGAGUCCGGUAGGUCUACUUGCCAGCAACCCCCAAUUUUUACAGGUUGACCUCAGAUCAGGUAGGGAUACCCGCUGAACUUAAGCAUAUCAAUAAGCGGAGGA
Molecule: unclassified non-coding RNA, 329 nt
Filed under: soil metagenome
Description: partial contains 5.8S ribosomal RNA, internal transcribed spacer 2, and large subunit ribosomal RNA
Rfam family: 5.8S ribosomal RNA (bases 1-120)
Source: RNAcentral